CGGACGGGUGAGUAACGCGUGGGUAACUGCCUUGUACAGGGGGAUAACAGUUGGAAACGGCUGCUAAUACCGCAUAAGCGCACGGCAUCGCAUGAUGCAGUGUGAAAAACUCCGGUGGUAUAAGAUGGACCCGCGUUGGAUUAGCUGGUUGGUGAGGUAACGGCCCACCAAGGCGACGAUCCAUAGCCGACCUGAGAGGGUGACCGGCCACAUUGGGACUGAGACACGGCCCAA
Molecule: ribosomal RNA, 234 nt
Filed under: uncultured bacterium
Lineage: Bacteria
Description: partial 16S ribosomal RNA
Rfam family: Bacterial small subunit ribosomal RNA
Source: RNAcentral